UAAACAUUGAUAGCACCCUACACCCGCUAUCCGCCAGGGUACUACGAGCAUUAGCUUGAAACCCAAAGGACUUGACGGUGCUUAAGAUCCACCUAGAGGAGCCUGUUCUAGAACCGAUAACCCCCGUUCAACCUCACCCUCCCUUGUCUUUCCCGCCUAUAUACCGCCGUCGUCAGCUUACCCUAUGAAGGACUAAUAGUAAGCAAAAUUGGUAAAACCUAAAACGUCAGGUCGAGGUGUAGCGCAUGAGAGGGGAAGAAAUGGGCUACAUUCACUAAUAUAGUGAAUACGAAUGAUGCACUGAAACGUUCAUCCGAAGGAGGAUUUAGCAGUAAGCAGAAAAUAGAGCGUCCUGCUGAAACCGGCCCUAAAGCGCGCACACACCGCCCGUCACCCUCCCCUAACUCAACACCAUUAAUAAUUAAUACCCCACAUCUGUUAAGGGGAGGCAAGUCGUAACAUGGUAAGUGUACCGGAAGGUGCACUUGGAAAAAUCAGAGCGUAGCUAAAAUAGAAAAGCAUCUCCCUUACACCGAGAAGUUACCCGUGCAAACCGGGUCGCCCUGAUACCAAACAGCUAGCCCCACCCCAUAAAACAAAAUUACCAACAUCAAUAACCCCAGAUGCACUACUAAAUCAACCAACCAAACCAUUUUACCCCCUCAGUACGGGAGACAGAAAAGGAACCAAUGGAGCUAUAGAAAAAGUACCGCAAGGGAACGCUGAAAGAGAAAUGAAACAACCCAGUAAAGUUAAAAAAAGCAGAGACUAAAACUCGUACCUUUUGCAUCAUGAUUUAGCCAGAAAACCUCAAGCAAAGAGCACUAUAGUUUGACACCCCGAAACUAAGUGAGCUACUCCAAGACAGCCUGUCUUAGGGCUAACCCGUCUCUGUGGCAAAAGAGUGGGAUGAGCUUCGAGUAGAGGUGACAGACCUACCGAACUUAGUAAUAGCUGGUUGCCUAGAAAAUGAAUAUUAGUUCAGCCUCCCGGCUUCUCCCCUCCCCCAGUCCUUAACCCCUUCGUCACCUAGAGAAACCGAGAGAGUUAUUCAAAGGAGGUACAGCCCCUUUGAAACAAGAUACAACUUUUUAAGGGGGGUAAAGAUCAUAAUUUUACUAAGGAUGUGUGUUUUAGUGGGCCUAAAAGCAGCCACCUAAGCAGAAAGCGUUAAAGCUCAAACAUUCCAAUUUUCCUAUAAUCCUGAUAUCCUAAUCUUACCCCCCUUUUUCCUACUAGGCCAUUCCAUGCAUACAUGGAAGCACUAAUGCUAAUAUGAGUAAUAAGAGAGGAGUAACCUCUCUCCUAGCACGCACAUACAUCGGAACGGAUAAUCCACCGAACAUUAAUCGGCCCCAAACAAAGAGGGCAAUGAACCAUCAACUAACAACCAGAAAACCCCCCAAAAAAUAACCGUUAAGCCCACACUGGCGUGCUCACAAGGAAAGACCCAAAGAAAAAGAAGGAACUCGGCAAACACCAUAGGCCUCGCCUGUUUACCAAAAACACCGCCUCUUGUAAACUAAAAAUAAGAGGUCCCGCCUGCCCAGUGACAUUUAGUUAAACGGCCGCGGUAUUUUGACCGUGCAAAGGUAGCGCAAUCACUUGUCUUUUAAAUGAAGACCCGUAUGAAUGGCAUAACGAGGGCCUAACUGUCUCCUUUUUCAAGUCAAUGAAAUUGAUCUCCCCGUGCAGAAGCGGGAAUAUAACCAUAAGACGAGAAGACCCUAUGGAGCUUUAGACACCAAAACAGACUUUGUUAAACACCUCUAGAUACUGAACAUAGCCAAAAGGACCCUGUUUAAAUGUCUUUGGUUGGGGCGACCGCGGGGAAUGCAAAUCCCCCAUGUGGACCGGGAGAACCUCUCCUACAGCCAAGAGCUACAACUCUAAGCAAUAAAAUCUUUAACCAAAAGAUCCGGUAAAACCGAUCAACGGACCGAGUUACCCUAGGGAUAACAGCGCAAUCCCCUUCUAGAGCCCAUAUCGACAAGGGGGUUUACGACCUCGAUGUUGGAUCAGGACAUCCUAAUGGUGCAGCCGCUAUUAAGGGUUCGUUUGUUCAACGAUUAAAGUCCU
This 2079-nucleotide unclassified non-coding RNA is filed under the name Channa pleurophthalma. RNAcentral's name for it is "partial contains 12S small subunit ribosomal RNA, tRNA-Val, and 16S large subunit ribosomal RNA". The stretch from base 668 to 2079 matches the Rfam family "Bacterial large subunit ribosomal RNA", at positions 1 to 2597 of the family's 2925-position model. Lineage: Eukaryota; Metazoa; Chordata; Actinopteri; Anabantiformes; Channidae. The record is from RNAcentral.